AGUGAACGCUGGCGGCGUGCUUAACACAUGCAAGUCGAACGGACUUAAGGGGCUUGCUUCUUAAGUUAGUGGCGCACGGGUGAGUAAUGUAUAGCUAACCUGCCCUUUAGUGGGGGACAACAGAUGGAAACGUCUGCUAAUACCCCAUACUCCUUCUUGUCUUAAGAUAAGUUGGGAAAGAUUUAUCGCUAAAGGAUGGGGCUUUAUUGUAUCAGCUAGUUGGUGGGUAAUGGCCUACCAAGGCAAUGACGCAUACCUGGUCUGAGAGGAUGAUCAGGCACACUGGAACUGAGACACGGUCCAGACACCUACGGGUGGCUG
This 321-nucleotide ribosomal RNA is filed under the name uncultured Pseudomonadota bacterium. RNAcentral describes it as "bacterial SSU rRNA". It matches the Rfam family "Bacterial small subunit ribosomal RNA", at positions 29 to 351 of the family's 1533-position model. The record is from RNAcentral. Lineage: Bacteria; Pseudomonadati; Pseudomonadota.